AUACUUACUGGCAGGGGACAUACCAUGAUCAAGAAAGUGGUUUUCCCAGGGCGAGGCUUACCCUUUGCACUCUGUAUGUGCUGCCCCCUGUGAUGUCCCCAAAUGUGGGAAGGUGAACUGCAUAAUUUGUGGUAGUAGAGGACUGUGUUUCCUCUUUUCCUUG
Molecule: small nuclear RNA, 163 nt
Organism: Octodon degus (degu)
Lineage: Eukaryota; Metazoa; Chordata; Mammalia; Rodentia; Octodontidae
Gene: U1
Rfam family: U1 spliceosomal RNA
About the family: U1 is a small nuclear RNA (snRNA) component of the spliceosome (involved in pre-mRNA splicing). Its 5' end forms complementary base pairs with the 5' splice junction, thus defining the 5' donor site of an intron.
Source: Ensembl